CUGGGGUGCUCGAGUGGCGAACGGGUGAGUAACACGUUGGUGAUCUGCCCUGCACUUCGGGAUAAGCUUGGGAAACUGGGUCUAAUACCGGAUAGGACCAUCGUUUAGUGUCGGUGGUGGAAAGUUUUUUCGGUGUGGGAUGAGCUCGCGGCCUAUCAGCUUGUUGGUGGGGUAAUGGCCUACCAAGGCGUCGACGGGUAGCCGGCCUGAGAGGGUGUACGGCCACAUUGGGACUGAGAUACGGCCCAG
This 249-nucleotide ribosomal RNA is filed under the name uncultured Actinomycetales bacterium. Its description in RNAcentral is "partial 16S ribosomal RNA". It matches the Rfam family "Bacterial small subunit ribosomal RNA", at positions 82 to 334 of the family's 1533-position model. The record is from RNAcentral. Lineage: Bacteria; Bacillati; Actinomycetota; Actinomycetes; Actinomycetales.